Molecule: ribosomal RNA, 253 nt
Filed under: uncultured bacterium
Lineage: Bacteria
Description: partial 16S ribosomal RNA
Rfam family: Bacterial small subunit ribosomal RNA
Source: RNAcentral
UACGGAGGGGGCUAGCGUUGUUCGGAAUUACUGGGCGUAAAGAGCGUGUAGGCGGCCAGGUAGGUCAGCUGUGAAAACUCGAGGCUCAACCUCGAGACGUCGGUUGAAACCACCUGGCUAGAGUCCGGAAGAGGAGAGUGGAAUUCCUGGUGUAGCGGUGAAAUGCGCAGAUAUCAGGAAGAACACCCGUGGCGAAGGCGGCUCUCUGGGACGGUACUGACGCUGAGACGCGAAAGCGUGGGGAGCGAACAGG